GCCCCGGUAGUAUAGUCCGGUCAAACUGACUGGUUGUCAGUAUCGAAAGUAUGCUGGCCUUUCGAGUCGGCGACGCGGGAUCGAAUCCCGCCCGGGGCACCA
Molecule: transfer RNA, 102 nt
Filed under: Nitrososphaerota archaeon
Lineage: Archaea; Thermoproteati; Nitrososphaerota
Description: tRNA-Glu
Rfam family: tRNA
About the family: Transfer RNA (tRNA) molecules are approximately 80 nucleotides in length.
Source: RNAcentral